RNAcentral lists this ribosomal RNA (328 nucleotides) under uncultured Chlorobiota bacterium. Its description in RNAcentral is "bacterial SSU rRNA". It matches the Rfam family "Bacterial small subunit ribosomal RNA", at positions 28 to 351 of the family's 1533-position model. The record is from RNAcentral. Lineage: Bacteria; Pseudomonadati; Chlorobiota.
GACGAACGCUGGCGGCGUGCUUAACACAUGCAAGUCAUGGGAGAAAGGGGUAGCAAUAUCCCGAGUACACCGGCGCAAGGGUGAGUAACGCGUAGGCAAUCUACCUCAAGGAUGGGAACAACCCCGAGAAAUCGAGGCUAAUACCCAAUAUUGUCCCGACACGACAUCGUAUCGGGAUGAAAUGCCGCAAGGCGCCUUAAGAUGAGCCUGCGUCCCAUUAGGUAGUUGGCGGGGUAACGGCCCACCAAGCCUUCGAUGGGUAGCUGGUCUGAGAGGACGAUCAGCCACACUGGAACUGAGACACGGUCCAGACUCCUACGGGUGGCAG